This 301-nucleotide ribosomal RNA is filed under the name uncultured bacterium. RNAcentral's name for it is "partial 16S ribosomal RNA". It matches the Rfam family "Bacterial small subunit ribosomal RNA", at positions 509 to 808 of the family's 1533-position model. The record is from RNAcentral.
CAGUAGCCGCGGUAAUACAUAGGUCCCGAGCGUUGUCCGGGUUUAUUGGGCGUAAAGCGAGCGCAGGCGGUUAGAUAAGUCUGAAGUUAAAGGCUGUGGCUUAACCAUAGUACGCUUUGGAAACUGUUUAACUUGAGUGCAAGAGGGGAGAGUGGAAUCCCAUGUGUAGCGGUGAAAUGCGUAGAUAUAUGGAGGAACACCGGUGGCGAAAGCGGCUCUCUGGCUUGUAACUGACGCUGAGGCUCGAAAGCGUGGGGAGCAAACAGGAUUAGAUACCCCCGUAGUCCCUGUCUCUUAUACA